CAGCAGCCGCGGUAAUACGAAGGGGGCCAGCGUUGCUCGGAAUCACUGGGCGUAAAGGGUGCGUAGGCGGGUCUUUAAGUCAGGGGUGAAAUCCUGGAGCUCAACUCCAGAACUGCCUUUGAUACUGAAGAUCUUGAGUUCGGGAGAGGUGAGUGGAACUGCGAGUGUAGAGGUGAAAUUCGUAGAUAUUCGCAAGAACACCAGUGGCGAAGGCGGCUCACUGGCCCGAUACUGACGCUGAGGCACGAAAGCGUGGGGAGCAAACAGGAUUAGAUACCCCAGUAGUCCCUGUCUCUUAUAC
This 301-nucleotide ribosomal RNA is filed under the name uncultured bacterium. Its description in RNAcentral is "partial 16S ribosomal RNA". It matches the Rfam family "Bacterial small subunit ribosomal RNA", at positions 509 to 807 of the family's 1533-position model. The record is from RNAcentral.